GGAAAAUAAUAUAAUUUUUUAAUAAGAAAAACCGAUGAGCUGUAUCCAGUGCACGAUAAUUUUAGGUAAUUACAUUUUAAUGAGUUAAAUUCUAUUUUGUUUGCUAGAAUUCAUUCGAUUCGUCUUUUUCAACGAGUGAUUGCUAUUGAAUCAAAGGAGUCGGACUGCGCUGGUGGCGCCAUAAACAUCUAUACGAGUGACUGAUUCGAUUCACUUAACCAUUCAAAUGAGUCAUUUGUUUGUGAAUCAAACUGAGCACGCUGUUGUAGCAUUACACCUGCUAAGACAAUUCAAUAUGUGCAAUCUGAAUUUAGUAAUAAUAUUUAUUUUGUGGUAAUUCAUGUGGGAAGCUCUGACAGAGAAAAACACUAUAGAUACGUAAGAGGGAGCCGUAAAAUGUAAGUGCAUCAUCUUUUGUUCUUGAAUGGAGGCCUAAUAUGUCUGCUGCACUUGAGCAGGUUCCGUUUUUAGAGUGAAUGAAAACUUUUGAAGCAUAGAUAUGCCGUAUGAUGUGAUUUAAAAUCAUACUACUUUUACUCUGGUGGGGAUUAUUAUGACCAAACAAACUUAAAAGUUUAAUCUGAACACUACAUGUAAUCUGACAUUAUUUAUUUAUUUUUUACAGAAAUUCUGAGCUGCUGCAUGAACUUUCAUCAAACAUAUAAGGCUGCAAUUUGGAAAAAACUUUCAAGCUAAUGCUGCUGAAAUGGAGGUCAAGGGGACUAUGAAGAGGUGGCUCCAGCUGAUCAAAAGGGAGGACUUCAGGAGGCAGACACACUCUGAGUUUAAAAGACCCAUCUCUUUAACCUUCCAUACUCACGACACACUAUCACAUUUCUAUAAUUCAAAUCUCUUAAAGGAUUUUUAUGCUGCACCAAUUAGGGUUACAGUAAUCAGCUGAUCCAGUCGGUAUCCAGACCAGACGGUGGACCUGCACCCAGGAACGACCACAAAACAUCCCUGACUGUCAGCGGAGACCUUGUCAGCUAGAUGAUAGAUCCCUGUGAAGACCUCAUUGAUGGCCCCAGCACAGAUCCUCAGCAAAGACUACGAGAACCAGACAAGCCCUCUGCACAGACCCUUUCUACCAGCUUCACCUGCUGGUAUGAUAUUACUUCAUGCAGAAGAAGUUGGAUGAAAUAUUCUGAAUGAUAUCAAUCCACAAUCUGACUUGUGAUGCAGCCUGGAAUAAUCACACCACGUUCUUUCGUUUGGCCAGACGAGACUGUUUCCUGACUGAGCCGGGUCUUGUUUGGGUUUGGGUUCCUUGUCACUGUUGCCUUUUGUCUUGCUUGGUUGAAGACACCUAAUAUUCAGCAAUAUUAUUGACUUGACUGCACUGACACCAUUUGAUAAGAACUGAACUGAAUUAUGACACACAAUGUUUUAUAUAU
Molecule: long non-coding RNA, 1394 nt
Organism: Onychostoma macrolepis
Lineage: Eukaryota; Metazoa; Chordata; Actinopteri; Cypriniformes; Cyprinidae
Exons: 3
Source: RefSeq, a predicted model, not a curated record